CUCUUAGAGAGGCACACCUGUCUGCUAUAUAAUAAAACAUACUCCUUUUGAAUUCUAGCUUAAAUUUCACUCAAGUUUUGGUCUAGAAAAUCCAGUUUAGCAGGAUUAGUCAUCAAUAACCUCCCCCAAGAUGAAAUUUUAAGUUAUCCAUUGAAUGUUAAAGUUGAAGGUACUAAAGGUCUGAUUUGGGCCACACGAUUUAGGUGAAAACAAAUCAGAGAAAGGUUAGCAAUAAAUGAGGAGAGAAAGAGGCUUACAGGAAAGUGGAAGGGGAUUUUAGAGUCUGGAGAUGAAAAAACUAUGGGGAAGGUUUUAUGUUAACUGUGAAAGCUGUUUAAAAGCACAUCACCAAUUAUUUUUGUUGACAUGAACAACUGAAAGAAUAUCCUAGUGUUAAAACCAGAAAAAAAUUAGGUGAGCAACAGCAUCAGUAGGUCUUGACUUAUGAAGGAGAACAACACAAAGGUUUCAAUGGGAGAUGAAGGGAGAAUGGAGAAAUACAACAACAGAGGACUUGCUACAGAAGAAGAGCGCUCACCAGUGGAAAGAGCACAAGAGUUGCCUUGCUUCACAGUUUAAGGACUCUUUGCAACCCCAUGAAUUGCAGCACACCAGGCCUCCCUGUCCAUCACCAACUCCCGGAGUUCACUCAAACUCAUGUCCAUCGAGUCAGUGAUGCCAUCCAGCCAUCUCAUCCUCUGUCGUCCCCUUCUCCUCCUGCCCCCAAUUCCUCCCAGCAUCAGAGUCUUUUCCAGUGAAUCAACUCUUCACAUGAGGUGGCCAAAGUACUGGAGUUUCAGCUUUAGCAUCACUCCUUCCAAAGAACACUCAGGACUGAUCUCCUUUAGGAUGGACUGGUUGGAUCUCCUUGCAGUCCAAGGGACUCUCAAGAGUCUUCUCCAACCCCACAGUUCAAAAGCAUCAAUUCUUUGGUGCUCAGCUUUCUUCACAUCCAGCUCUCACAUCCAUACAUGACUAUUGGAAAAAUCAUAGCCUUGACUGGACGGGCCUUUGUUGGCAAAGUAAUGUCUCUGCUUUUGAAUAUGCUAUCUAGGUUGGUCAUAACUUUCCUUCCAAGGAGUAAGCGUCUUUUAUUAAUUUCAUGGCUGCAGUCACCAUCUGCAGUGAUUUUGGAGCCCCCCAAAAUAAAGUCUAACACUGUUUCCACUGUUUCCCAUCUAUUUCCCAUGAACUGAUGCUAGUAAAGUAAUGUUCAAAAUUCUCCAAGCCAGGCUUCAGCAAUAUGUGAACUGUGAACUUCCUGAUGUUCAAGCUGGUUUUAGAAAAGGCAAAGGAACCAGAGAUCAAAUUGCCAACAUCCUCUGGAUCAACGAAAAAGCAAGAGAGUUCCAGAAAAACAUCUAUUUCUGCUUUACUGACUAUGCCAAAGCCUUUGACUAUGUGGAUCACAAUAAACGGUGGAAAAUUCUGAAAGAGAUGGGAAUACGAGACAACCUGACCGGCCUCCUGAGAAACCUAUAUGUAGGUCAGGAAGCAACAGUUAGAACUGGACAUGGAACAACAGACUGGCUCCAAAUAGGAAAAGGAGUAAGUCAAGGCUGUAUAUUGUCACCCUGCUAAUUUAACUUCAAUGCAGAGUACAUUAUGAGAAACGCUGGGCUGGAAGAAGCACAAGCUGGAAUCAAGAUUGCCGGGAGAAAUAUCAAGUAACAUAGUUUAGAUACCACAUAUAAGUGAUACCAUAUGGUAUUUGUCUCUCUCUGACUUACUUCACUUAGUAUGAUAGUCUCUAGUUUCAUCCAUGUUGCUGUAAAUGGCAUUAUUUUGUUCUUUUUAUGGCUGAGUAGCAUGCCUUUGUAUAUAUAUGUACCAUAUUUUCUUUAUCCAUUUGUCAAUGAACAUCUGUUGUUGAUUGGAUGUUGUGAAUAGUGCUGCUAUGAACACAAGGGUGCAUGUAUCUUUUUGAAUUAUAGUUUUAUCCAGAUAUAUACCCAGGAUUGGGGUUGAUAUUUUUAUUUUUUUGAGGACACUCUAUACUGUUUUCCAUAGUGGCUGCACCAACUUACACUACAAGAAUAUCAUUCUUGAUGUUGCUAAAGAUUUUCAUGUUGAAAGAGAUCCUCUUUGUAAACAAAUGGAAGUCUUAAUAAACAACCCUCAAAUCCAAAAAGAUUUGAAAGAUUGGGAAAAUAAUUUAUCUUUUGAGAACUUGAGAAAAUAGUGGCUCAGAUUUAGAUAAAAGACAAAAUAAUAUUGAAAAUUACCCAACAUUUCUGAAAUAGGUAACUGAGGUCACAUUUGACUCAGGCAUGAUCUAUCUAUUCUAGCCCAACGCUCUGAUCAUUUGGGGUAUUUCAGUUUAUCAGGAUAGAGGCAGUGAUGUCUCGUCCUUCCCUCACUAUCUCAUUUUCAUUUUUAGUAAAGGAGAUAUCAGUAGCUUCAUUUACCAUCUAAAAUUUUCAAGUAAGUUCUUAGAAUUGGGGAAGUUCCUGUCAGUUUGUACAUCUGAAGGCAUCUUAAUGGAAACUUAAAGACUCAAAAGCUUUAGAGUAAAAGAAAAAAAUUGUACCCAUUUCCCCCUUCUUAUGAUACUAUACAAAGUAAUACUGAAAGCUGCUCAACAAUUCUGAAUACUGAUAGGAAUGAAAUUUUAAGGUAGAAAAUAAUCAGAGAAGAGAAAAUACAAGGAGGGAAAAUAAUCAAAAAUUGUUUCCUCAAAAAAUUAAAUAUCAAGAAAGCCAAAGUAAAAAUAAUUAAAAAAAACCUAAAAGCUAAGUUUGCUUAUAAAAUGCCUUUAUAGAAUUUUGCUAAAUUUUGAUAGAAUUCUGGAAAAUGCCACUGUUUCAUGAAAAUGUUUGAACAACCUGCGAUUAGUCACUUCUUCCAAUGUCUCAGGAAUUGUCCACCAUGUUUCAUUGCAGGGCUGUAGUGAAGUCAUAAAGAAGGUCAUGUUUGUCAAAUCCAGGCUUUGGAGAAAAGGGAAACUGGACUAGUAGCUCAAACCUUAGUCAACACUGGACUCUUCUAAUGUAAAUUGCGUUCAUAGAACCUGUACUGCUUAUUAUUCAUAAUCAAUAAGAAAACACUAUGAACCAAAUUUGAGAUGUGUAGACACUGAAAACAAUGGAGAGGCCUCUAGUUCUUGGAACAUGAAAUAAGAGAGCCUCCUGGUGUUCAACAUGAAAUCAGAGAGCCGCCAGCAAGCACAGGCUUGCAGCUGAGGGAGUGAUUUUACUAUUUUAUUAACAUGACUGAAAAUGUAAAGAGAAAAAGACUCUUGUUAUAAAAAGCAAAAGAUAAAAGCAUUUAACUUAAGGACCUAUUUCCCAAACCCACUUACUCUAACUCACUUUUUCUAGAAUCAUGCCUGUUGAAUGUAGUUUUAUAGGCAAUACUGGUAUUCGUUUAUUUAAAACUCUCUGUACUUAAAUAUCUUAAACAUCUUUAACAUCUCUCUGUACUUAAACAUGCUUAAUUAAAAUAAAGCACAUCCACAU
Molecule: long non-coding RNA, 3458 nt
Organism: Bos taurus (domestic cattle)
Lineage: Eukaryota; Metazoa; Chordata; Mammalia; Artiodactyla; Bovidae
Source: Ensembl